UGAAUAGUGGUGAAGUCCCAAUGUGGCCCUCACGGCGAAAAGUUUGGAGACUCCUGAUCUACAGUGAUACAAGGUACGCUACAUAGAAAAUGACCUAUCGUAUUUUGGACUGGCAUCCGUUUUUAUUCCGCCUGGCCUCGUCUAUUUCCAUUGUAAAAAAACCGUUAACUCUACAAUUUUAGAUGCAACUAUACCUUAAAAAUGGGUGUGGGAACAGCGCCAUCGGAUUGAUACGAUCUGGUGGCUCUGUUCCCACUCUUAUUUUUGAAUUCUAGUUAUGACUAAAAUUAUGGAGUUAACGGAUUUCUUCUACUAGAAAUUUUUGGCCGUAAGUCUCGUCUUAAGAUAAAUCGGAUGUUUUGGAUGACGUCGUCUUCCCGGGUCCGACAUCUUAUCCGUAUCUGGUUGUUUUAUCGACUGUUUUCUCCAAAUCCUCUUCGCCUUUAACUCCAUUUUUAACAUUAUCAGGAAUGUUUAUCCGACGUUUUUGCACUUUGGCGCUGACUUUUGUUUUCCGCCAUUCGUUCCAGCUCGGAAUUUGGAACGUUAUUCUGCCCCCAUGGCUGGAUAGGUCCUUUAUCCAAUUACCGUAUCUUUAUCUAUUGUACUUUGGGUUAUUGUCGUCUCCGUUAUUCUUAUCUGUGUCGACUGGGUAUGCGCUGACGUCAUCUAAAUAUCUACUGUAUUAACUAACCGUCUGUUUUCUAAUUAUUACGCGUAUUUGGCUGACAGAAUUUUAAUACGGAUUAAAGUUAACGUAUUAUCAGAAUUUAUGCGAUACAGGCGUAUAAAGUAGAAAGAAAUACGAUAGGUGGUAUUUACGUCGCAUGCAUUUAACGUGUACUUUGAUAAAUGAAGAUUACACCGUAUGUAUACGGCAUUAUAUAUAUAUAUAGACGGGAUGUUUUGUAAACUAAUGCCGAAAAUACAAAAUAAGUUUAUUAAGUCGAACAACAAUUUUUCGUUAGACUCAUCGUUACCGAGUUAUAACCAAAUACAUGAAGUCAUUUCCGUUUUCCCAAAGGUUUCGUUUUACUUCAAUAACAAUGGAAUUAUCUGUAAAUAAAUUUUCAAGAAGAUAAAACUGUCCAUUUAAAUGAGGGUGUGCAGUCGCGUAUAAAGUGGUUGUAAGAAUCAAGUUUUUCAAUGUAAACAUCGAUCCACCAGACCUGAUUAGAACGGAUCAUCUUGAAUGCCUACUCUAGCUUGUUUCCUUUCGAUCAGUUAAAAAGAAACAUUUGUAAACAUGUUUUUUUUUUUUUUUUUUAAUUUAUCAGCUCCUUUAUUUAA
This 1290-nucleotide long non-coding RNA is filed under the name Androctonus crassicauda. The record is from RNAcentral. Lineage: Eukaryota; Metazoa; Arthropoda; Arachnida; Scorpiones; Buthidae.